UUAGUUAUCUUGGCUGGAGCUGUUUAGUUCAGCUCCAGCCAAGAUAACUGA
MicroRNA precursor from Oreochromis aureus, 51 nucleotides. The record is from Ensembl. NCBI's taxonomy places the organism in Eukaryota, Metazoa, Chordata, Actinopteri, Cichliformes, Cichlidae.